AACGAACGCUGGCGGCAUGCCUAACACAUGCAAGUCGAACGGGACCUUCGGGUCUAGUGGCGCACGGGUGCGUAACGCGUGGGAACCUGCCUUUAGGUUCGGAAUAACUCAGAGAAAUUUGAGCUAAUACCGGAUGAUGUCUUCUGACCAAAGAUUUAUCGCCUUUAGAUGGGCCCGCGUUGGAUUAGCUAGUUGGUGGGGUAAAGGCCUACCAAGGCGACGAUCCAUAGCUGGUCUGAGAGGAUGAUCAGCCACACUGGGACUGAGACACGGCCCAGACUCCUACGGGAGGCAGCAGUGGGGAAUAUUGGACAAUGGGCGAAAGCCUGAUCCAGCAAUGCCGCGUGAGUGAUGAAGGCCUUAGGGUUGUAAAGCUCUUUUACCCGAGAUGAUAAUGACAGUAUCGGGAGAAUAAGCUCCGGCUAACUCCGUG
This 433-nucleotide ribosomal RNA is filed under the name uncultured bacterium. RNAcentral describes it as "partial 16S ribosomal RNA". It matches the Rfam family "Bacterial small subunit ribosomal RNA", at positions 29 to 507 of the family's 1533-position model. The record is from RNAcentral.